RNAcentral lists this ribosomal RNA (524 nucleotides) under uncultured bacterium. RNAcentral's name for it is "bacterial SSU rRNA". It matches the Rfam family "Bacterial small subunit ribosomal RNA", at positions 247 to 762 of the family's 1533-position model. The record is from RNAcentral.
AGUUGGUAGGGUAAAGGCCUACCAAGGCUACGACGGGUCGCUGGUCUGAGAGGACGACCAGCCACACUGGCACUGAGAUACGGGCCAGACUCCUACGGGAGGCAGCAGUGAGGAAUAUUGCGCAAUGGGGGAAACCCUGACGCAGCAACGCCGCGUGUGGGAAGAAGGCCUUCGGGUCGUAAACCACUUUUGCACGGGACGAAAAAGGGAUAUCGAACAAAUAUCCCCGAUGACGGUACCGUGAGAAUAAGCCACGGCUAACUCUGUGCCAGCAGCCGCGGUAAGACAGAGGUGGCAAGCGUUGUUCGGAAUUACUGGGCGUAAAGAGUCUGUAGGUGGUUUGUCAAGUCUUUGGUGAAAGGCCGUAGCUUAACUAUGGGAAUGCCAAAGAGACUGGCAGGCUGGAGGCUGGGAGAGGGAAGCGGAAUUUCGUGGUGUAGCGGUGAAAUGCGUAGAUAUCAGAAGGAAGGCCGGUGGCGAAGGCGGCUUCCUGGAACAGUCCUGACACUGAGAGACGAAAGCGU